Molecule: non-coding RNA, 75 nt
Organism: Myotis brandtii (Brandt's bat)
Lineage: Eukaryota; Metazoa; Chordata; Mammalia; Chiroptera; Vespertilionidae
Source: Rfam
GGCAGUUCUCAGGUGAUGUGCCCCAGAAUUGGGCUCCCUCCUCUCUGGUUCCGGGUGCAUCACCUUAGAACCGCA